UGCCUUCAUGUGUUGCCCAUUCAUUGCUUUCUACGGUGAAUGUGGUGUCAGCGAAGGCACACAGCAUAUCUUGGAUCGGCCUUAGCAAGGUCUCUCUCCGGUGGCCUUGUACUAAGUUCUAUACCAAGUACAGAA
Molecule: small nucleolar RNA, 135 nt
Organism: Larimichthys crocea (large yellow croaker)
Lineage: Eukaryota; Metazoa; Chordata; Actinopteri; Sciaenidae
Source: Ensembl